GAUGAACGCUGGCGGUAUGCUUAACACAUGCAAGUCGAACGGACUCUUCGGAGUUAGUGGCGGACGGGUGAGUAACGCGUGAGAAUCUGGCUUUGGGUUCGGGACAACCCCUGUAAACGGUGGCUAAUACCGGAUGUGCCGAGAGGUAAAAGAGAAAUUGCCUGAAGAUGAGCUCGCGUCUGAUUAGCUAGUUGGUGAGGUAAAGGCUCACCAAGGGAGCGAUAAGUAGCUGGUCUGAGAGGAUGACCAGCCACACUGGGACUGGGACACGGCCCAGACUCCUACGGGAGGCAGCAGUGGAGAAUUUUCCGCAAUGGGCGAAUGCCUGACGGAGCAAUACCGCGUGAGGGAAGAAGGCUCUUGGGUUGUAAACCUCUUUUCUUAGGGAAGAACAAAAUGACGGUACCUAAGGAAUCAGCAUCGGCUAACUCCGUG
Molecule: ribosomal RNA, 435 nt
Filed under: uncultured bacterium
Lineage: Bacteria
Description: partial 16S ribosomal RNA
Rfam family: Bacterial small subunit ribosomal RNA
Source: RNAcentral